GCAGAGACCUAGCGGACAGUUUUCCGGUGGCAGCAAUGCUCAUUUCCCGGACACAGAUGGUUUUUGGCCCCUGAAGAACUCUUUAAUCCCUGCGUUUUGUAGCGCUCGUUCUCUUUACAGGGCUUUCACUCCUGGGUCGAAAAAGGUCACCAACUCCUACUAAAUCUUAAACAUUAACAGCAACUGAAGCCUCAUCUUCAGACCUAAGAGAAGAUGAAAAUCAGAAGAAGCUGCAUUCACAAGACCUGUGUCCAGAAAAUUAAACUAUUCAACCCCCUAGUCCCAGGGACUAUUGCAGAAGAAGUGGGUGUUUGGACUUGUAAGGACCUACUUUAAGAGAGAAAGUUAGUUCAGUAUUUCUCUAUAAACAGUGGUUUUGUUUUGUUUUGUUUUGUUUUGUUUUGUUUUGACAGGAACUAGCUCUGUCACCUGGGUUGGAAUGCAGUGGCAUGAUCCUGGCUCACUGCAACCUCCAUCUCCCAGACACAAGCGAUCCUGCCACCUCAGCCUCCUGAGUAGCUGGGACUGCAGGUGUGUACCACCAUGCCUGGCUAAUUUUUGUAUUUUUUGUAGAGACAGUGUUUCAUCACAUUGCCAAGGCUAGUCUCAAACUCCUGAGAUCAAGGAAUCCACCCACCUAUGCCUCUCAAAGUACUGAGAUUACAGAUGUGAGCCACAAUGGCCAGCCUAUAAAGAUUAAUAUAAAAGGAACACUGAUGCAAGACCAGCCUGUGGGCCCCUGUGUCAGAUUAGCAAUGUUUUCUUGAGGUAUUAACCCAUUCUUUUUUUAAACAUUAUAAAACGUUAUGAAAGGUUUAUAAAAUUAUUGCUUCUGGUCAAGAUGAUUAAAAUUUAAUACACUUGUCUAUAAGAUUUGAGAAAUAGAUUUAAUUGGCUUCAUUCUAUCUUCAUUAGGUCUUAUUUUUUGGGAAAGUAAGUCUCAAAGAGUAAAAGGUUUUGCCUUUUUGUUUUUGAAAUAUUUGAGUUACCACUUUGACUAAAUGACUGACUUAUUUUACAAUGACCUGUGAUUCUAUUUUGUGAUAUCAAGUGUUUUAAACAUUGACCUUGUUUUAAGUAUUUGACAAACUUUCUAAAAUCCAAUUCUAAAUUCGGUCUUUUUUACCUCAUUAAUUUUUUUGACAUUAAGUCCCCUGAAAUCCAAAGAGAUAUAUUUGGCUUAUUUGGCAUAAUAAGAUCACAUAAGAUGCAUUAUCAAAUAUGAAAUGAUAUUUAACUUUCUUUAGAUUGUAUUUAUAUGAAUGUCUUAUUAGUAUGUAUUACAAAAUCGUAUGAGAUUCCUGUGAUUCUGAAAUGUUAGUGUAUGUUAUCAGAACUAAUUAUGAUCAUUAUAUUAAAUUGUUGUACGCCAUAGCUAUAACCAAA
RNAcentral lists this long non-coding RNA (1386 nucleotides) under Homo sapiens (human). Its description in RNAcentral is "HSALNT0326288". The record is from RNAcentral. Lineage: Eukaryota; Metazoa; Chordata; Mammalia; Primates; Hominidae.